AGAAAGUAAACGAUCGUUAUUGUAUAUGAUUUUUAUUUAUAUACUGCUUUAUUUCUUAGCAAGCACCUCCAAAAAAAAAAAUCACAGUCUUAAACAUAUAUCUUUAAUCUUAUUAAUGGCACCAAGCGUUAUCAUUUAUUCGGAUAGCUGACUUUCAGAUCUAUACAAAUAUACGCUCCCAUAGUCUGUGAUUAACUUUUCAUUAAUAUUUCAGCAGUAGACCAAAAAUUCUAACUAUUGCAGCUUUAAUCAAGGAUGCGCCACCUACUUGUAAACUCAAAGACCUUUCCACAGAAAUGUUACCAGCUGAUUUUUAAGGGUACAGUCUCUACUGUCUUUCUCUUUGAAAUCAACAAUGACAGUAGUUAAACUGAUGUGAGCAAUGCAUCUACACAGGGAAAGGCUUUGAAACGCUUAAUGUGUUAAGAAAUAUGUCAACGAUACAAAAUCCCACUGUAUCUUCAAUUUUUAUUUCCAAUAUUAUCGGAAUUUAUUUUGCCACAUAAAUCCCUAGUCACACUUAAACUGACCUACACGGAAGUGACCUACGAAGACGAAGAGAAUGCCUUGAAUGUCUUUAUGGCACUAUAACAUUUAUCAUCACAUUGGCAUAAAGAAUGGGCUGCCUUUGUAUGGUGUAACUAUUAUGUGCAGGUAAAUGGAAUUUUCAGUCAAAACAAUCUCAAACAUCAGAAACAAAGAAAUUGUACACGAGUUGUAUUAGAGAAAAAGAGGGGAUUUAAAUACUUGUGGGAACGUGCUGUGAUAUGCAGGACCCUGGUUUUCCAGGAAAUUGCUUGAUGUGCAUGCACACAGUGCCCCCUAUCAAACUGUGAAUGUAUUACCCUGCCAGCCCAGUGGUCAGCAGCUUACCCUCAAAACACAAAAUAUGUUUUCCUUCAUUACUAUGGAGUGCUGUGUACAGUAAAGAAGUAUUCCUCUUGAGAGGGCAGUGAACAAAGGCCACAGGGUCAUUUCCCGUGCCAAUUUCUUGGCACACUCACUGCAGCACCAAAAUAUCUAUGGCUGGGUGGCUACUUUCCUGGCUUCAAAACUCCCCAUGAAACAGACAAAUCAAAGUGCUUCGGAAUCCACAGGCACAUGAAAAUAUACGUUUUGUGCAUGUUCUAUAGUCCCCAUUAAACUACCUACAUAAGGGAAACAGCUUAUUUUAAAAAAGGUCCAAUAUUCUAAUAAGUUAUCAGACAAUCAAGCAGUCACACUACACAUAAGAUCAAAGAGCAGGGACAUAUAUUCAAUUUAUUAAUUAAAAUUUAUUAUCAGCUCGUAACGAAGUGUAAUAUAUGCUGAUGAAACAGAAACACCAGAAUCGCUAAAUAAGCAACUCAAGAACUGAAUUGUGCCAUAAUCAAGACAUUGUAGCUGUCCAUGAUUAACAAUAGCUCUGAAAGGAUCACACGAGACUGGGAAACAAGGUUGAAGGCCAUUUUUACUACCGGGGAAAGAAGAACUUGACGCUCAAGACUGUACAGUAAGUAACGGCUCUUCACAAUACUUCCUGCAGGUUCGUGCCACUUGAAAUAAAGAAAUGUAUGAUGUCCAUUAUUAAUGUGAUAUUGUGACUUUUCGUUUAACUGACCUUUCCAGGUGUCAUUAAUAACAAGCAUAUAAAAAAGUAAACUGUAAAUUGGCGGGAUAUCAAAAACUGUCGUUAAAUUUCUUGGACAUGUCCGUAUUUAAACAAACAAUGAGUGUUGUUUAAUUUAAAGUAUAUAUAUAUAUAUAAACAUUUGCCGAAUGCAGUAUUUUAUUUUUACUACAGAUCGGAUAAACACCUAGAUGGAGAAAUAAAUCUGUUUGGGGAAUCGACGGUCACGCUGUCGGCGACAGCGCGCUUUUACAGUUUCUUCUUUUACUUUUUACGUUCGGGCGGGCGGAUCUCUUGAAGCUACACAUUGUAUCUGAUCUAGAUAUUCACUGCUGAGAUUACAGCCUUCCCUCUCCAUUUAAAAAAUUAAUGCUCAGUAAAAAUGUCAUUUGUUUACUGUAGCAAGUUAGCUGCAGUUAAAUAUAAGCACAGACUCUUAAUGAGAGGUAUUUCAGCUAGUCGCCUAAAAGUUACGCAACAGGAAUGGCUAUUCGUAAAUAGCUACAUAGCUCAAUAUUAACUAGUUUUCAUGCUGGAAAGCUAAACGAGACACCAAGAACCAUUGCUUGCAACCUUUAAAUGACAAAUACGCGCUUCCAUCCAAGGAGGCUGCCACCGCAAGUACGGAGUGAAAGCCGACUUCGUUGCAGACUCCCCUCCUUCUUUGCCUGCCUGCCUGCCUGCCUGCAACAAGCCCGCCGCCAUGAUCUCUUUGUCUUCUCCGAGCCGAUCCCAACAUCGCCGGGACAUACCCUGUCACCCUCCCCCCGGACACUUCUCUUCUCUUACCGAUACAGACUCUCUCCGUCACUCCUAAGCCCUCGGAGCUCCACUUUUAUUCAGGCCGACACGUAAGAGACCGCGUCAGGCUACACCUCCGUCGCGUCACCGAGAACAACAACACGGAGAACGAGGGAGACGAAAAUCAGCUCAACGGCACCAUCGAGAACUGCCGAGGCGCGCACGGAAAAUGCCGAAGUGCUGACGGGAGGAACCGAAUGCGACGUACGUUCGACGGAAAUGCACGGAAAUACCUAGUUCUCGGAGCUGGAAGGAUGAGAGAGCGAUGUUCAAACAUAGUAUUGGUAUACGUGCAUUUCUAAAUACGUUCUCACAAAUAAUUAGAAUCUUUGUAAACGGUUUAUUUAUUUAGAAUAAAUUACGACAUUGCUAAUCCUCUGGCGUAAUGCAUGCUGUUUGGUUUAUUAAUCAUAUAUAUUAUAAAAAGCUGUCUGGUUAUUGUACGAAUGGCCUGACAUAGAUGCAAUUGAUAUGACGGGCGAACAAUUACAUUUUGCCAAGGGCAUUGUUUUUCUAAGCGAUUUAAAGUAAACCCACAACUUUAAUUGUUACCGAUGCUUUCGCGACAGUAUUGCAUAUUCAAUUAAGAUAGUUAGCUGGUCAAGAGCAAGCAUAUUUGUCAACUGUUUUUCCUUGAUGAAAUGAUUAGCGUUGGCACAAACGGAAUACCUGUAGUCCCGUGUUUCUCAGUUCAAAAUGGCAGCAUUACAAGAAAUUCAAUGUAAGAAUACAAAACCUUUGCCGUUGUAAACGAGUUUUCACUGCAAAUCUUAUUUAAAAUGGUUUAUGGUGGAUUUUUCACCAUAUAAAUCAGUAUAUUGACUUCAUUUGGUUUGCUGACUUGUGAAAUUUCCAUUAGAAUUGCAGAGAAUGCAUAAAAUACUAGACAAAUUACUCAGAAUCACCUUUGUUGGAAUAAGGAUUUAGGUCUUUAUCCCCAUUCUCCAGUUUGUUGCGUGCAACGUCCUAACACAUGAUUAACAUCGAUGACAAGAUUCAAGAUUUAGCAGAGAAUAGGAAAAAAUGCGCGUAUAAACUAAUUUUUCCUGCUAAAACAGACGCAUUGAUAAAUAUCCUGCAUUAAAAAAACUAUUUUUUCCCUUUGAAAACAUUAAGUGGAAUUACAUAUAUAAUAUCUUAAAAAUAGCGGUUAAAUUACACAAACACAAAUGUGCUUGUUUCAUAAUUAGGAAUAAUAUUGGACUGUACAUGUAUAAUAUAGAACAUAUAGCUGACAUGAUAAUUUAAUAUAUGGAACUAAGGAAUGUGUUUAUUGCAUCCUAUUUUUUUCAGAAAGGUUAGAAGACUAUACAGUUUGUCAGUGAUGAAAUCACUAUUGUGACAAUCAUGAAAUUAUAGGAUAUGAUGCAUUUUGUUGUAUCUUGUGCAUUGAAAAUAAAGUCUGUUCUAUUCUUACAACCCUCAGGGUUGUUGGACAUUCAUGUAUGUGACAUAUUAAAAUAAACUGAAUAAUCUA
Molecule: long non-coding RNA, 3887 nt
Organism: Paramormyrops kingsleyae
Lineage: Eukaryota; Metazoa; Chordata; Actinopteri; Osteoglossiformes; Mormyridae
Source: RefSeq, a predicted model, not a curated record